AAAGAUGAUCAUACCAUGUUGAAAACACCGGUUCUCGUCCGAUCACCGAGAUUAAGCAACAUUGGCCAUAGCUAGUACUUAGGUAGGUAGCUACUUGGGAAAACUUUGUGUCGUUGGCA
This 119-nucleotide ribosomal RNA is filed under the name Anopheles stephensi (Asian malaria mosquito). Lineage: Eukaryota; Metazoa; Arthropoda; Insecta; Diptera; Culicidae. The record is from RNAcentral.